CCAUAUCUAUGUUUUUUUCUAACUUGACAUCGCUGUUAGUCGUGUCCACACACUUAAAUACGACAUAAAACGUCAAGACACUUUUUUUUUAAUUAUCUGAAUACUUGAUAGACAAUAGUUACAAAUAAAUUAUAUAUUUAAUUCACCUAGAUGAAAAUUUCUAGAUGACUCCCAACAUUGUGCAUAACAUCAUAUCUGAGUAAUUCGAGAGGUCAUUGAUCGAGUUCAACGUUCCAAAGCUACGAUGUUUCAAGGUCCAGACUUUAACAGUAGAAGGAGUAGCAUCUCUCUACAUAAACACUGAAAACGAACAGUUCUUUAUCAAACAGUGCAUUACAUAUAUGGAUGUUCCUACAAAUUAGUAUUAAUAUUCAAUAUAUAUAACAAAACAAGUUUCGUGUUGUCUGCCGUUAAACCAACAGUUCAGCCCAGCUUAACCAUGAAGUUUUUGAUCCAUGUUUUGCCCAUUUUAACUUUAGUAUUAGCUGACCAUUCGCUAGACAAUUUCAUCAAAAGCAACGACCUUUUCACUUCGUCUAUCUACAAAAAAAUUUCUAAAAACGAAAACUACGCAGACAAAAACUUACUCGUUAGUCCAUUUUCGGCCUAAAUAGUUUUGUCGUUGCCACAAACAGGCACCAAAGGAGCAACAGCGCAAGAAAUCGACGCCCUUCUACAUCUACCCGACAACAUUUUCAAAACAGUCCUCACAAAAUUAAAAAAUAACGAAACCUACACUCUACAAAUCGCCAAUAAACUCUACAUAAACAAGAAAAACAUUGUCGUCAAAGACGAAUUGAAAAACCUAGUAUAUUUUUCCGACGUCGAAACUAUCGACUUUGCAGGAAAUGUAGACGCAGCAGAGACCAUCAAUCGAUGGGUGGAGGCCCAAACUAGAAACAGAAUUCGCGAUUUAGUCAAACCCGAUGACUUAAGCAAACGUACUAGACUGGUUUCAAUUAACGCCUUUUAUUUCAAGGACUCGUGGGCGCGACCCUUUUUCACCGACCUUACGACAAAAAUGGACUUCUAUGUGACGUCGAAAGAUAUCCAUAAGGUCGAAACGAUGCGUAGUCGCUAUGGAGAUGAUUUCAUGUUUUACGAAUGCCCCCAUUUGAAGGCUAAGUUUUUGGAAUUGUUUUUUGGAGGAGAGGCUUCUAUGGUUUUAGUUCUGCCAACGAUAAAGAGGGGUUGGGGCCGCUUGAAAGCCAGAUCGACAGGGUUUUAGCUCCUCAUAAUUUAACAUACGAAACUGUCUUAGUUGCCGUUCCUAAAUUCAAAAUCGAAAGUAGGAUUGAUUUUGUGGAACUAUUAAAACAAAUGGGUGUGCACAAAGCGUUUAAUGAGGGUGAAGCUGACUUUAGUGGAAUUACGGGUGUCAAGGGCGAUUUGAUAAUGGACAAGAUCGUGCAGAAAGGUUUUAUCGAUGUCAACGAAGGUGGAGUUGAGGCCGCAGCGUCCACUUUUAUCAGUUGUCCCAUUCCCCCCAGUGCCAUUCCAGAACCGAAAGAAUUCAAGGCUGAUCAUCCCUUUAUGUAUUACAUCAGAGUUAAGGUGGUCGUUGUCUUUGUGGGGAGGGUACUAAGGCCAAAACUGUAAAUCUGAAAUAUCGUAAAACUUUCUGUGUGUUCUUUCUUUAAAUAAAAGAAGUUAGGGGACAGUCAAA
Zophobas morio is the source of this 1666-nucleotide long non-coding RNA. RefSeq lists it as uncharacterized. The transcript is spliced from 4 exons. Lineage: Eukaryota; Metazoa; Arthropoda; Insecta; Coleoptera; Tenebrionidae. The record is from RefSeq and is a predicted model, not a curated record.